This 379-nucleotide ribosomal RNA is filed under the name uncultured bacterium. RNAcentral's name for it is "bacterial SSU rRNA". It matches the Rfam family "Bacterial small subunit ribosomal RNA", at positions 29 to 409 of the family's 1533-position model. The record is from RNAcentral.
AUUGAACGUUGGCGGCAUGCUUUACACAUGCAAGUCGAACGGUAACAGGCCUUCGGGUGCUGACGAGUGGCGAACGGGUGAGUAAUGCAUCGGAACGUGCCCAAUCGUGGGGGAUAACGGUAGCGAAAGUUACGCUAAUACCGCAUAAGCCCUGAGGGGGAAAGCAGGGGAUCGCAAGGACCUUGCGCGAAUGGAGCGGCCGAUGUCAGAUUAGCUAGUUGGUGGGGUAAAGGCCUACCAAGGCGACGAUCUGUAGCGGGUCUGAGAGGAUGAUCCGCCACACUGGGACUGAGACACGGCCCAGACUCCUACGGGAGGCAGCAGUGGGGAAUUUUGGACAAUGGGCGCAAGCCUGAUCCAGCCAUGCCGCGUGCGGGAA